This 535-nucleotide ribosomal RNA is filed under the name Bifidobacterium longum subsp. suillum. Its description in RNAcentral is "bacterial SSU rRNA". It matches the Rfam family "Bacterial small subunit ribosomal RNA", at positions 154 to 704 of the family's 1533-position model. Lineage: Bacteria; Bacillati; Actinomycetota; Actinomycetes; Bifidobacteriales; Bifidobacteriaceae. The record is from RNAcentral.
AAACGGGUGGUAAUGCCGGAUGCUCCAGUUGAUCGCAUGGUCUUCUGGGAAAGCUUUCGCGGUAUGGGAUGGGGUCGCGUCCUAUCAGCUUGACGGCGGGGUAACGGCCCACCGUGGCUUCGACGGGUAGCCGGCCUGAGAGGGCGACCGGCCACAUUGGGACUGAGAUACGGCCCAGACUCCUACGGGAGGCAGCAGUGGGGAAUAUUGCACAAUGGGCGCAAGCCUGAUGCAGCGACGCCGCGUGAGGGAUGGAGGCCUUCGGGUUGUAAACCUCUUUUAUCGGGGAGCAAGCGAGAGUGAGUUUACCCGUUGAAUAAGCACCGGCUAACUACGUGCCAGCAGCCGCGGUAAUACGUAGGGUGCAAGCGUUAUCCGGAAUUAUUGGGCGUAAAGGGCUCGUAGGCGGUUCGUCGCGUCCGGUGUGAAAGUCCAUCGCUUAACGGUGGAUCCGCGCCGGGUACGGGCGGGCUUGAGUGCGGUAGGGGAGACUGGAAUUCCCGGUGUAACGGUGGAAUGUGUAGAUAUCGAAAAA